This 107-nucleotide ribosomal RNA is filed under the name Neogale vison (American mink). Lineage: Eukaryota; Metazoa; Chordata; Mammalia; Carnivora; Mustelidae. The record is from RNAcentral.
CUGAGCCACCCAGGCGCGCCCGAUCUCGUCUGAUCUCGGAAGCUAAGCAGGGUCGGGCCUGGUUAGUACUUGGAUGGGGGCUGCCUUCUUGAUGUGGCCUCCUCAGC